This 677-nucleotide ribosomal RNA is filed under the name Bacillus subtilis. Its description in RNAcentral is "bacterial SSU rRNA". It matches the Rfam family "Bacterial small subunit ribosomal RNA", at positions 556 to 1234 of the family's 1533-position model. Lineage: Bacteria; Bacillati; Bacillota; Bacilli; Caryophanales; Bacillaceae. The record is from RNAcentral.
GGGCGUAAGGGCUCGCAGGCGGUUUCUUAAGUCUGAUGUGAAAGCCCCCGGCUCAACCGGGGAGGGUCAUUGGAAACUGGGGAACUUGAGUGCAGAAGAGGAGAGUGGAAUUCCACGUGUAGCGGUGAAAUGCGUAGAGAUGUGGAGGAACACCAGUGGCGAAGGCGACUCUCUGGUCUGUAACUGACGCUGAGGAGCGAAAGCGUGGGGAGCGAACAGGAUUAGAUACCCUGGUAGUCCACGCCGUAAACGAUGAGUGCUAAGUGUUAGGGGGUUUCCGCCCCUUAGUGCUGCAGCUAACGCAUUAAGCACUCCGCCUGGGGAGUACGGUCGCAAGACUGAAACUCAAAGGAAUUGACGGGGGCCCGCACAAGCGGUGGAGCAUGUGGUUUAAUUCGAAGCAACGCGAAGAACCUUACCAGGUCUUGACAUCCUCUGACAAUCCUAGAGAUAGGACGUCCCCUUCGGGGGCAGAGUGACAGGUGGUGCAUGGUUGUCGUCAGCUCGUGUCGUGAGAUGUUGGGUUAAGUCCCGCAACGAGCGCAACCCUUGAUCUUAGUUGCCAGCAUUCAAUUGGGCACUCUAAGGUGACUGCCGGUGACAAACCGGAGGAAGGUGGGGAUGACGUUCUAUCAUCAUGCCCCUUAUGACCUGGGCUACACACUUGCUACAAUGGA